UCACAUGGGAAAAGGCAACAGGAAAAAAAAUACACAAAAGAAGAAAACCAAAACAAAAUACAAAGAGCCUGGAGAAUGGUAGCAGAUCUAGAACUUCAACCUACUUCACAGUAGCCGGACUGCUUCAUUGAUUGAUGCUAAAAACUCUACUAAGGAAUUCUUCUGUUGCUGUUGUCAACCCAACUUUUUUUUGAAGAACAAUAUAUGGCAAUUACAGAUACAACAACCUUGUUAGAUGCAUACAAUAUUUUAAUGUAAUUACCUCUCACUGCUUCCAGUGAGGAAUUUUAUCCAGCUAUUUCCUAACAAAUAAAGUUUCCAUUUAGUUUUUUA
This is a long non-coding RNA of Mauremys reevesii (Reeves's turtle), 333 nucleotides long. RefSeq lists it as uncharacterized. The record is from RefSeq and is a predicted model, not a curated record. The transcript has 2 exons. Lineage: Eukaryota; Metazoa; Chordata; Testudines; Geoemydidae.